Molecule: ribosomal RNA, 235 nt
Filed under: uncultured bacterium
Lineage: Bacteria
Description: partial 16S ribosomal RNA
Rfam family: Bacterial small subunit ribosomal RNA
Source: RNAcentral
UGGCGGACGGGUGAGUAAUGUCUGGGAAACUGCCUGAUGGAGGGGGGUAACUACUGGAAACGGUAGCUAAUACCGCAUAACGUCGCAAGACCAAAGAGGGGGACCUUCGGGCCUCUUGCCAUCGGAUGUGCCCAGAUGGGAUUAGCUAGUAGGUGGGGUAACGGCUCACCUAGGCGACGAUCCCUAGCUGGUCUGAGAGGAUGACCAGCCACACUGGAACUGAGACACGGCCCAA